AAGAACGCUGGCGGCAUGCCUAACACAUGCAAGUCGAACGAGACCUUCGGGUCUAGUGGCGCACGGGUGCGUAACGCGUGGGAAUCUGCCCUUCGGUUCGGAACAACAGUUAGAAAUGACUGCUAAUACCGGAUAAUGACGUAAGUCCAAAGAUUUAUCGCCGAAGGAUGAGCCCGCGUAAGAUUAGGUAGUUGGUGGGGUAAUGGCCUACCAAGCCGACGAUCUUUUAGCUGGUCUGAGAGGAUGAUCAGCCACACUGGGACUGAGACACGGCCCAGACUCCUACGGGAGGCAGCAGUGGGGAAUAUUGGACAAUGGGCGAAAGCCUGAUCCAGCAAUGCCGCGUGAGUGAUGAAGGCCUUAGGGUUGUAAAGCUCUUUUACCAGGGAUGAUAAUGACAGUACCUGGAGAAUAAGCUCCGGCUAACUCCGUG
Molecule: ribosomal RNA, 433 nt
Filed under: uncultured bacterium
Lineage: Bacteria
Description: bacterial SSU rRNA
Rfam family: Bacterial small subunit ribosomal RNA
Source: RNAcentral